CAAAUAUUAAGUGUGGAUACAUUAUACUUCAGCGGUUAUUCAUUCCUAUAGUUCAUUCAUAUUCUUCUUCCAUUAACCAUCUCAAAGCCAUUCAACAAGAUAUAGAACCCUAGAAUGUCUGCAACGGUGCCAACGGAUUCAUCAAGUAAUAUUAAUUAUUAUAACAAAUUUUACUGAUGAGUUUGUACAAAACUUAAUACUAUAUAAAUUUCAGUUUUUAAUGUGUGUCGGUAUUUUUUUGAGGAUUGAUAUCAUUGUAUGUUUAUUUUCUGUAUUUUUCAUAAACUAAUUUACCAAUGUUGUUUGUUUCGAACAAAUUUAAUCAUUGUUUUGAAGAUCUAAGUUCAAAAUCUGUAACACCUUAUUGAAUAUGACAGAUGAUUUGGAGAGCAUGUUCAUAACUGCAAAAAAUGACGUUCAUGAUUUCUUAUAAUGUCAUAGUUUGCUGAACUGCAAACAUUGGUUCAUGAAUUAUUGUAAACAGAACUGCAAACAUUGGUUCAUGAAUUAUUGUAAACAUAUGUAGAUGUGGAAUUAAUAAUAUAUAUGUGAACGAACUAACUUAAAAUAUGAAGUCUGUCUAGUGCACUAGGGUUUAUUGUCUGUAUUUAUGUAGCUAAACAAUGAAUUAUGCACAUUCGUGUAUGCAUUCAUGACCAAACUAAUUACUGUUAAAUUAUGAUUUCUCGGGGAGCCUCUAUAUAAGUACGCCUGAUAAUGAGAUAUGCUUUCCUCAAUGCCCCGAAUCACUCAACCCAUAUACUGGUCAACUUUUUGAUAGCUUAGAAGAAGGGGUGAAUUUUUACAAAAAUUAUGCUAAUGCAUGUGGUUUCACCACUCGGAUGAGCACUUCUGGGCAUGCGAAUGAUUGGACAAUUAUAACACGAUAUGUCGUUUGUAAUAGACAAGGAUUAUGGGAUAAAGCUGACCAACCACUUGUGCGUACUAAUAACUCAAAAGCGAAGAAGAGAAAGACUUCAUCUUGCAAGGUUGACUGUAGGGCAAAGGUAAUUUUUUGCGUUCGUAACUGAAGGUCGCUACAUGAUCCGUGAAUUCAACGAGGGUCAUAAUCACUUGAUGGUGCCAUCCGCGUCACGACAUCUAAUGCUCGACAACAGAAAGGUCGACGAUGUUGAUUCAAUGCUAAUCAUAUUGAGACUAAAGGCCAAUAUUGGUCCCAUGCGUAUAUUUCGUAUGUUCGUUGAUAUUGUAGGCAGUUAUGAUAAGGCGGGAUGCACUGGGACGGACUUCAACAAUUUUGUCAGAGAUUUGAAAGUGUAUUCAAAAGACUCUGACGCCCACAUGUUGGAGGCAUUUACCCACAACAAAGCGGUCUUGACAUUCAUUUGCCAAACCUCAAGGUUCAUGUGGGCUGCUAUGGCAAGGAGUAUUCGGAUGGACUUAAGCAUGGCAACCGGCGAAAAGGUUCCAACAUAAUCUAUACCCUGUUCCUGGGUAUAGCGUUUCGCCACCAGUCUAGCUUUAAAAGCCGCGACUUCGCCAUCCGAAUAUCUUUUUCUAUUGUAUACCCACCUACUACCUAUGGCCAAGAAGCCAUCUGGUAAUUCAGUUUUCUCGUAUACAUUCAUAGCAGUCAUGGAUUCUAUUUCAGAAACCAUGGCGUCGUACCAAGAAUCUGCAUCUAAAUCUUUCAUCGCUUGUCUAAAGUUGUCAGGGUCGAUAUCCUUUUGUUCAUUAACAGGGAGAAGAUCCGAAGAUUCUCCCAAGAACAUAAAUCGAUCGGGUUGGACGAUAACCCUCCCACUACGACGAAGCGGUGGUGGUAUAGCUGUGACAAUGGUUUGUGCAGUGUCAUGUGGUGCAUUCACUUGCACACUUGGCUGGGGUGAUGGAAUCGCCUGUCCAUUGCCUUCGAUUUCUUGAAGGACAAUCUCGGACUUAGACUUGUGUUUAUCUAUAUAAUCAUGUUCCAAGAAUUGUGCGUUGGUGCUAACAACCACUUUCUGAUCCUUAGAAUUAUAGAAAUAACCACCUUUCGUUUCCCUUGGAUAUCCUACAAACAACAUUACUUCGCAUCUAGUCUCCAAUUUCUUUGCCUCUUUGUCAAGCACGUAUGCAGGACAACCCCAUACCCUUAUAUGAUGCAAGCUGGGCUUUCGCCCUGACCAUAAUUCGGUAGGAGUCUUAGGCACAGACUUGGACGGUACUAGAUUCAGCAAGUAAGUCAUUGUUUCCAAGGUAUAUCCCCAAAACGAAAUAGGCAACGAUGCAUAACUCAUCAUUGGUCGUACCAUUUCCAAAAGAGUUCUAUUUUUUCUCUCCGCUACACCAUUCUGUUGGGGAGUACCCGGUGCAGUCAAUUGGGAUGUGAUCCCAGAAUCUGACAAGUAUUGCUUAAACUCGUUUCCGAGGUAUUCGCCACCGCGAUCAGACCGCAAUGACUUGAUAGAUUUACCCAAUCUAUUCUCCACUUCCGCCUUGAAUUCUUUGAAUUUCUCAAAGCAUUCAGACUUGUGUUGAAGUAAGUAAAUAUACCCAUAUCUUGAGUAAUCGUCAAUGAAAGUGACGAAAUACUCAUACCCUCCACGAGCUUUUGUGGACAUCGGUCCACACAAGUCAGAGUGAAUCAAUUCGAACACAUGUGAUGCCCUAUUCCCCUUUGCCUUAAAAGGCCUUGCCGUCAUCUUUCCUUCUAUACAGGAUUCGCAGGUUCUAAAUGGAACAGCUUGAAAAUCUUUCAAAAUUCCAUUCGACACAAGCCUUUGGAUCCUGUUUAGAUUGAUGUGGCCUAACCUUAGGUGCCAAGCAUGUGUAUAUUGUUCAUGAGAAAAGUAUUUCCUUUUAUUUUGAUUUGGACAAAUUGGUGAUGUAGAUGUAACAUGGACAAAAUUAUUAAUUGGACAUGUAAUAGUAUAGAGAGAGUUGUUCAAAAUUCCGGAACAAAUAAUCAUGUUAUUUUUCAUGAUAGAAACACCUCUAUCAAAAGUAACUGAAUAUCCAUUCAAAAAUAACUUUCAAACAGAAAUUAUGUUCCGCCGAAACUCCGGCACAUAUAAAAUAUCUCUCAAAACUAAAAUAUCAUCACCAAAACAUAAAGAUAAAUCUUCAAUUGCAACAGAUGCGACCUUCGACGCAUUGCCCAUGGAGAUGGUGAUUUCAUCACUUCCCAGCUCCCUUCUCGGCUUGAAGCCCUGCAAGGUGUAACAAACAUGGUCAGUUGCCCCCGUAUCUACUACCCAAGAAUGAGUAGAAAACGAAGCUAAACAUGUCUCAGUUACUAAACGAAGCUAAACAUGGUCAGUUGCGCCAUCUUCUUUUUCUCAUUUUCUGGAUUCUGUUCUGUUCGGUCAGAGUCAGAGCUGGCUGGCAGCUCUGUCGACUUCUCUUCCUCCGUUGUGUCUAUGUUCUGCUCUACCGUGUCUAUGGACUGCUCUGCACGGUCAGAGUCAGAGUUGGCUUCCUCUUCUGCAGGCUGCUCUGAAGAGUCAGAGUCAGAGCUCGCUGGCAGCUCUGUAGGCUUAUCUUCCUCUGUUUCUACGCUCUGCUCUCGAAGGUCAGAGUCAGAGUAGAAACCGUCAGCUCUGGCAGAGUCAGACUCAGAAUCGUCUUCUCUGUCCUCUGCAAACACUCCUUUGCAGGUUCUUCCUAAAAAUCCCUUCACUCGUACUGUGCAACGGAGACACAAGUUUGCCUUUAAGACUACGGCGUCCCUGCAUGCACAACACUGAACAAACAGAUUAAACGCACCGGGUGGGAGAAAAAUAAAAACAAAAUGUAAAGUAAAGAAAGCAAGAAAAGUGACACAACUAAAAAGCCUAAAACCUUCCCCGGCAACGGCAACUAGAACACCUCUACAUUGACUUGCAAUAAAACAAGGCCACUCUAGCAGUGGUAAGCUAACCCAAUGUCGUCUCUCAAGGAAGAUCUUAAAGGGCAAUUAAUUAUGUCACGAGAAAACUGUAAACUAGGGAUUAUUAAACUAGAACGUGAAAUUAAACUUGACUUGAAAUUAAACUUAACUAUGCGAAAAGGAAUUAUUAACUAAUGCCAAAUUAUUAACUAUUCCUAACUUAACUAAAAGGAAUAAUUGCGUGAAAAUACACAAACUUUGCCAAAAAUCCAUAUUUGACGUGAAGUUAGGAUUUUACAUUUUAAUACACCAACUUUCGUUGUUGUCCAAAUUUGACACGACUUAAUUCUUAAAAAUUCAAAAAAUAACCCAUUUUUGUAAAUAAUUAUACAAAGACCCACUUAUGUUAUUAUUUGGGACAUUUAAACCAAAACAAGAUAUUUCCUCAUGAUGUUUUCUUUNGUUAUUAUUUGGGACAUUUAAACCAAAACAAGAUAUUUCCUCAUGAUGUUUUCUUUUAAUCUUUGAUCCGCGCCUAAAAUGGUUUAAAAGAAAACAUCAUAAGAAAAUAUCUUGUUUUGGUUUAAAUGUCCCAAAUUAUAACAUAAGUGGGUCUUUGUAUAAUUAUUUACAAAAAUGGGUUAUUUUUUGAAUUUUUAAGAAUUAAGUCGUGUCAAAUUUGGACAACAACGAAAGUUGGUGUAUUAAAAUGUAAAAUCCUAACUUCGCGUCAAAUAUGGAUUUUUGGUAAAGUUUGUGUAUUUAGGUGCAAUUUUCCCUAACUAAAACUUAAUCUUAAAAUUAUCUAGGCGAAUUAAACUAUUAAAACCCUAGGCAAGACUUAAACGCAAUAAAGUAAAGGAACUUGGAAUUUAAAUACUAACUAGUAAUUUAAAGGCUUGUAAAUUAAAAGGAAAGCAUCAUAAAAAUGCAUAAACUAAAUUGCAUAAUUUAAAGUGCGUAAUUUAAAGAAAGUAAGUAAAAGCAAAUAAAUAAACUUGAUUAAGAAAUACCGUAAAACGUCUCGAGAAGUAAUCUAUCACGUAAUUACAACUGUAAACGAAGAACUAAUCUAAAACAUGAAUUGAAAGAACUAUAAUAAACUAACUAAGAACAUAAAUCGAAACUAAAACUAAGAAAGCAAUAAACCUAAGUCUUCGGCUGCCUAGCGAAAACUAAAGAUUAGGGCAAAGGAUUAUAUUUUACAAUGAAUAGCAAGACCCUAUUUAUAGACUUCAAUUCAAUCUUGAUCACCAUCAAACUUGCCAUGCAAAAUUGGACUCUAAAGGAAAUAGAAUCGUGUAAGAGAAGGAAAGUCCAUCAAAAUCGUGCUCUGCAAGUUAUCUCCACUCUGGCGAAAAUUGGCUAACUCUGGAAACUCGGCUCUGGAAAGGUAUAAUGCAGAGCUAAAAGUCAGCUCUGGCAGUAGCGAGCUCUGAAAAGUGCAGAGCUGAAAGUCAGCUCUGUAAAGUUGACUCUGUCGAUCUUUAGCUCUGCUCUGCCAAGUUCACUCUGGCGCGUAGUCAGCUCUGUCGAGUUUAGCUCUGCUCUGACAAGUUUGUUCUGCUCUGGAGAUUUCAGCUCUGCUAGGGAAGUUCAGCUCUGAAGAUUUCGGCUCUGACUCUGCAAGUCAGCUCUGCUCUGCUACAGAGCUAUCCUCGCAGCUCUGCUCUGGCGAGCUUCUCUGCUCUACUCUGCAGCGGGCUUUUCGGCUCUUGCGCGGGCUUUUCAGCUCUGGCACGGGCUUUUCAGCUCUGUACACCAGAGUGAGCCAGAAUACGCAUUUCUCAUCCAAAUUAUCCAAAAUUACACUCUUCUACCUAUAAAACCUAAAUCUCCUGCAAAAUAUAAAACAAACCAUAAACCCACCAAUUUCCAUAAGAUUUAACUUAAAAUAUGCACACGCAAUUCACAUACCCGAAAUUGCGUGUGCGAAAACCUUCUUCUCUUCCACAAAUUCAUAAAAAUUAGUAAGUAUCAAAGAAAAAAACUAAGCAUAGAAAGAUCAAUCUCGCCCAAUUGAAAGCAUAAGCAAAACAAGACACCCCCCCACACUUAAAGCAUACCAUGUCCUCAGGGCACAAAAUAAAAAGAGUUUAGAAAACAUCCUUGAUUAUCGGCAUUGAAAAACUGAAGCAUUGCGAGAGGUGGCGAAAGGUAGGGUUUGCGGCUGUGGCAGAGUAGGAAUUUCAGUGCUGGCAUUUGCAGAGUGGAACUUCAGCUCUGACUCUGUACGGCAGAGUCAAAGUAGACGUGCAACGCUGGCUUUCUUCAGAGUAGAAAUUCAGAUCUGGUCAGGUCAGAGCUGGCCUUUUCAGCGCUGGCGGCAAAGUCAGAGAAGAAAUUGCAGUGCUGAAAACAAAGACAUUAACACCCAAAAAUAAAAGUAUCCGCACAAGCAACCAAAACUUAGGAAAACAUAAAACAAAAAUGAAAAACAAAGAACAAGAAAAACAAAAACACAAAAACCAAACCAACGGUGGGUUGCCUCCCACCAAGUGCUAGUUUUAAAGUCGCCAGCCCGACGUAGAGGAACCCUUAACCAAAAUCACCAUGAAACGUCAGCUGAAUUAAUCUUUUUAAAAACACGUCGUCCUUCAUUUCAGCUGCAGGUAGGGGUGUAAUCGAACCGAGCCGAACCGAAUAAUGGUGUGCUCAAGUUUGGUUUGUUUAGUAUCGAAUCGAAUCCCGAACUUUACUAACCGAAUACUUUGAGACUCGCGAGCGGCUCACGAGCCUAAUCGAGCCUAUAUGAACUUUCUAAAUUUAUAUUUAUAUUCAAAAUAUUGAUUAUUUUAUUUUAAAAAUAAAUUAUUUUAUUUAAAAUAAUAAAUAUAUUAAUUAUUUUCUUAUGACAAAUAAAAUUAAGUAGAGAUUUAAUAUAAUUAUUAUUAAUUUUAGUGGAUAAAUAUAAGUUAUAUAUACUAAUAAUUUAUAUUUUUCAAGCUGAAUCACUUGACGAACAUGUUCACGAGCUAACGAGCCGAAUACUACUAAGCUCAAGUUUGGUUUGUUUAUUUAUCGAGCUUCUCUAAACGAACUUGAACGAACUUUUUUCGAGCCGAGCUCCGAAUAGUUCGCGAGCGGCUUGGUUUGUUUACACCCCUAGCUGCAGGUCCUCUUAAUGAGCAAGCAGUGCUCAUCACAUUCAUCAUUCUCUCGAACCAAGAGCUAGGUCGAGAGCUCUCCUCUUUCUCCUCCUCCAAGGGAAGCACAAGGAAACCUCCAACUGCCCAAGGAAUUUCACGAGUAAGCCACGAUCGUGUGGAUGUUUACACAUGAACCCCUCAACCAGAUUAUUCACCUAGUCGUUUAAUUUCCAUCCAUGUCAACUUAACCUUUUGACAAAGGAAAUUAAUAGUUGGACCUUAACUAGACCAUAUCAUAUUCAAGAAGGGACUCCAAUGGGGAGUUGUACAUUGUACGUGAAACAAUAUCUAAGCAAUGACCACAAUUUAACCUUGACAUUUAAAUUCUCGAAAUUGGCAUACUCACUAGGACCAUACCUCUUUCAAUUUAAUCUCUUGGUUAUCUUAUUUAAAAUCCAUCCUCUAAAGUACUUAUGAAAAUCAUACCAGUAAGCCACGAUCGUGUGGACGUUUACCACAUAACUCCCACUACUUAAAUGGAUUUAAAUAUUUUUAAUAGAAAUCUCAACUCGACAAACUCGUGAAAUCAAACAUGAAGUAAGCCACGAUCGUGUGGACGUUUACUCACAUUCUCAAUCACUUUGUCUUGAGACCGUUGUGGAGGUCUAAAAUAAGUUUUGAACACCAUAAAAAUUAUUAAAACAGCUCGGUCUUUUUCUUUCAAAAGGUUUGAUCAUGCUCAACACAUAAUCCUAAACAUGCACUUCUAGAACGCAACACGUAAAACAUGCUCACGGAAUCCCAAAACAUGCUUAAGAAAACGAUGAACCUAGCAUGCUUGUCUAAGCGCAGUUAAUAAACACAUAUUAACAAGCAAAGAUAAAACAACAAGCAAAGAGCAUAAAGGAUUAACACCACGACAUGCAAAGAACAGAAUAAAAGAAAUAAAGUUCUUCGUGACCCAUUCGUGGAAUCUCAAUUCUAAUCUAUUACAUUUGAAACAGAGAAGAAAAACUAGAAAACGUAAACAUUGCCCAAAACAGCUCCAUCAGGCCCGUCUUUGAAAACUAGGGUUUAGGAACCCAUAGGGUUAGCUUCAAGAUACGUGCGCCACUUCCUCGGCAGCCUCGGCAAAACAGAGCAGCGACAGCUUCUGGUCAGAGCAGAGAUCGGUCAAAAAUAUAGCAGAGAUCACUCAGAAGCCAGAGCCGAGACAGCUCCAGAGCCAGAGCACAGAAUGCCCAGAGCCAGAGCUAAGCCAUCUCCAGAGCCAGAGCACAGAAUGCCUAGAGCCAGAGCUGAGACAUCUCCAGAGCCAGAGCCAGAGCACAGAAUGCCAGAGACAGAGACUGAGACAUCUCCAGAGCCAGAACAUAGAAUGCCCAGAGCCAGAGCUGAGACAUCUCCAGAGCCAGAGCACAGAAUGCCAGAGCCAGAGCUGAGACAUCUCCAGAGCCAGAACAUAGAAUGCCCAGAGCCAGAGAUGAGACAUCUCCAGAGCCAGAGCUGAGACAUCUCCAAAGCAAGAGCAUAGAAUGCCCAGAGUGCUCAGAACCAGAGCUGAAGCCCAGAGUGCUCAAAACCAAGGCCAAGACAGCUCCAAAUGGAGAGCGCAUUAGCUCUGAAGCCAGAGUGCAGCAGUUCGCGAACCAGAGUGCAGCACAACCUGAAACCUAUUCAUCCACUCCAAAAACCUAUUCUUCGUUCUCCGUCUGAUCAUCAUCGUCUUUGUCUCGUUUUACCAUAUUUACAGAUUACAGCCGAAAAACAAAAACAACAAACUAAAGUCCUAAUCUAACCACGGAUUUUCUCGUGGUGGAAAAACGAUUACAAUGUAAAAAACGACGUAUCCCACGAAACAACAGACCACGAAGAACAGCAGCAACAGCAAGCCAAACUCAAUGAAAAUUAUUAAUCGUACACGAAUUAACUGACAGAGCCAAGAAAAGCAAUCCAGGCUCUGAUACCAAUUGAAGGAUUUUAGCCCCAAUAGGAUCGUUUCUCGGAUAUCUUAAUUCACCAUACAACGAUUAAUUCCUAACAUGCUCCUAUGAAUUUAAGUGCUGCACAUUGGAGUUAGAAACACUUGUGAAUUGUAUGCAGAGGCUGUCAAUGGCUGAAUUGAAAGACUCCAGUUCUGACCUUCUGAACUGUAUCCCGCUCAACUCCCAACGUUGGAUAGACAACGAGCUAUGAGAAUUCCCAAGGAGAAAUCGGCCUUCUCGAAGUUGGCGACCCUCUGCUGCUCUCUAAAAUCCUAAUAUUUGUGUGUGUCUUAUUCUGAGAGUAGACAGUUGUAUUUAUAGACAAAAUACAGUCCUAGGGCUCCCAUAACUGUGAGGGACGAUUUUUACUCCUACAUGGCUUAGGAGACUUUGGGCUAGUCCAGGGAUCAGAUACAAGGAAUAAAGAUGGGCCUCUAAUGAAUUAAUUUCUAUGAUCAGCCCAGAUCAUAAUUAAUUCAUAAGUAUCAAUUCAUUCUACUAGAGAAUCAAUACUGACUUACCCCUUUAUUGUCGGUGAUGAGUCGGGGCUUGUAUUUAGACUUAUUAAAUCUCCGUAUUUAAAAUAUCCGACAUCCAUUAAUUAAUUAGAGCUCUGGCAGCUUAAAUUAAUUAAUCUCUUUGUAAUCCUUAAGCAAUACCACUCAAACCUUAUUAUUGCGCCUGAACUUAAUCAACCUGCAGGGUUUAACGCAAUAAACCUUAUUGAGCUCCUUAAGGGGAUGUCAUUAUCCUAUACCGGAUACGGGUACUAAUACAGAUAACCAAAUAUCAUAUAUUAACCGCUAUCACCCAAGAUACAGAGUACUCAAGUUAAUAUAUAACUCUCACCCAUAGUAAGUCAAAGUGAUACACGAAUCAACAUAUAAAUUUGAAAUCUUAUUAGUAUUAAGAUUCUAUUAAGUCACCGAGAUCUUGAUUCUUCACUUAUGUCAGAUAGAAGAAUACAUCUCACUGUGAUCCUAUCAAUACGUUAUGACGUACCAGUAUAGACAAGUAGUCAAGAUAAACUAGCUUCCAUCUAUACUGCAGCCUAAACCAACGACUCAUCCUAGAGUCAUCUCGGCUGCGAUCAGUUUAUACUUAAGGUUAUUCCAAUUAUAUGGUCUUCUGUGAUUUACAACACACCAUAUAAUCUACUUAUAUAGAGAUAAAGGANUAAUAUAAUUAUUAUUAAUUUUAGUGGAUAAAUAUAAGUUAUAUAUACUAAUAAUUUAUAUUUUCAAGCUGAAUCACUUGACGAACAUGUUCACGAGCUAACGAGCCGAAUACUACUAAGCUCAAGUUUGGUUUGUUUAUUUAUCGAGCUUCUCUAAACGAACUUGAACGAACUUUUCGAGCCGAGCUCCGAAUAGUUCGCGAGCGGCUUGGGUUGUUUACACCCCUAGCUGCAGGUCCUCUUAAUGAGCAAGCAGUGCUCAUCACAUUCAUCAUUCUCUCGAACCAAGAGCUAGGUCGAGAGCUCUCCUCUUUCUCCCUCCUCCAAGGGAAGCACAAGGAAACCUCCAACUGCCCAAGGAAUUUCACGAGUAAGCCACGAUCGUGUGGAUGUUUACACAUGAACCCCUCAACCAGAUUAUUCACCUAGUCGUUUAAUUUCCAUCCAUGUCAACUUAACCUUUUGACAAAGGAAAUUAAUAGUUGGACCUUAACUAGACCAUAUCAUAUUCAAGAAGGGACUCCAAUGGGGAGUUGUACAUUGUACGUGAAACAAUAUCUAAGCAAUGACCACAAUUUAACCUUGACAUUUAAUCUCGAAAUUGGCAUACUCACUAGGACCAUACCUCUUUCAAUUUAAUCUCUUGGUUAUCUUAUUUAAAAUCCAUCCUCUAAAGUACUUAUGAAAAUCAUACCAGUAAGCCACGAUCGUGUGGACGUUUACCACAUAACUCCCACUACUUAAAUGGAUUUAAAUAUUUUUAAUAGAAAUCUCAACUCGACAAACUCGUGAAAUCAAACAUGAAGUAAGCCACGAUCGUGUGGACGUUUACUCACAUUCUCAAUCACUUUGUCUUGAGACCGUUGUGGAGGUCUAAAAUAAGUUUUGAACACCAUAAAAAUUAUUAAAACUGCUUAGUCUUUUUCUUUCAAAAGGUUUGAUCAUGCUCAACACAUAAUCCUAAACAUGCUCUUCUAGAACGCAACACGUAAAACAUGCUCGCAGAAUUCUAAAACAUGCUUAAGAAAACUAUAAACCUAGCAUGCUUGUCUAAGCGGAGUUAAUAAACACAUAUUAACAAGCAAAACAAAACAACAUGCAAAGAGCAAAAAGGAUUAACACCACGACAUGCAAAGAACAUAAUAAAAGAAAUAAAGUUCUUUGUGACCCAUUCAUGGAAUCGCAAUUCUAAUCUAUUACAUUUAAAACAUAAAAGAAAAAACUCAAAAAUGUAAACACUGCCCGAAACAGCUCCAUCAGGCCCGUCUUUGAAAAACUAGGGUUUAGGAACCCCUAGGGUAAGCUUCGAGAUACGUGCUCCACUUCCUCGACAGCCUUGGCAAAACAGAGCAGUGACAACUUCUGGACAGAGCAGAGAUCGCUCAAAGACAGAGCAAAGAUCACUCAGAAGCCAGAGCCGAGACAGCUCCAGAGCCAGAGCACAGAAUGCCCAGAGCCAGAGCUGAGACAGAUCCAGAGCCAGAGCACAGACUGCCCAAAGCCAGAGCUGAGAUAUCUCCAGAGCCAGAGCAUAGAAUGCCCAGAGCCAGAGCUGAGAUAUCUCCAGGGCCAGAGCACAGAAUGCUCAGAGCUAGAGCUGAGACAGCUCUAGAGCCAAAGCACAGAAUGCCCAGAACCAGAACACAGACUGUCCAGAGCCAGAACAUAGAAUGCCCAGAGCCAGAGCUGAGAUAUCUCCAGAGCCAGAGCUGAGACAUCUCCAGAGCCAGAGCAUAGAAGCCCAGAGUGCUCAGAACCAGAGCUGAAGCCCAGAGUGCUACAAACCAAGGCCAAGACAGCUCCAAAUGGAGAGCGCAGUAGCUCGGAAGCCAGAGUGCAGCAGUUCGCGAACCAGAGUGCAGCACAGCCUGAAACCUGUUCAUCCACUCCAAAAACCUAUUCUUCGUUCUCCGUCUGAUCAUCAUCGUCUUUGUCUCGUUUUACCAUAUUUACAGAUUACAGCCGAAAAACAAAAACAACAACUAAAGUCCUAAUCUAACCACGGAUUUUCUCGUGGUGGAAAAACGAUUACAAUGUAAAAAACGACGUAUCCCACGAAACAACAGACCACGAAGAACAGCAGCAGCAGCAAGCCAAACUCAAUGAAAAUUAUUAAUCGUACACGAAUUAACUGACAGAGCCAAGAAAAGCAAUCCAGGCUCUGAUACCAAUUGAAGGAUUUUAGCCCCAAUAGGAUCGUUUCUCGGAUAUCUUAAUUCACCAUACAACGAUUAAUUCCUAACAUGCUCCUAUGAAUUUAAGUGCUGCACAUUGGAGUUAGAAACACUUGUGAAUUGUAUGCAGAGGCUGUCAAUGGCUGAAUUGAAAGACUCCAGUUCUGACCUUCUGAACUGUAUCCCGCUCAACUCCCAACGUUGGAUAGACAACGAGCUAUGAGAAUUCCCAAGGAGAAAUCGGCCUUCUCGAAGUUGGCGACCCUCUGCUGCUCUCUAAAAUCCUAAUAUUUGUGUGUGUCUUAUUCUGAGAGUAGACAGUUGUAUUUAUAGACAAAAUACAGUCCUAGGGCUCCCAUAACUGUGAGGGACGAUUUUUACUCCUACAUGGCUUAGGAGACUUUGGGCUAGUCCAGGGAUCAGAUACAAGGAAUAAAGAUGGGCCUCUAAUGAAUUAAUUUCUAUGAUCAGCCCAGAUCAUAAUUAAUUCAUAAGUAUCAAUUCAUUCUACUAGAGAAUCAAUACUGACUUACCCCUUUAUUGUCGGUGAUGAGUCGGGGCUUGUAUUUAGACUUAUUAAAUCUUCGUAUUUAAAAUAUCCGACAUCCAUUAAUUAAUUAGAGCUCUGGCAGCUUAAAUUAAUUAAUCUCUUUGUAAUCCUUAAGCAAUACCACUCAAACCUUAUUAUUGCGCCUGAACUUAAUCAACCUGCAGGGUUUAACGCAAUAAACCUUAUUGAGCUCCUUAAGGGGAUGUCAUUAUCCUAUACCGGAUAUGGGUACUAAUACAGAUAACCAAAUAUCAUAUAUUAACCGCUAUCACCCAAGAUACAGAGUACUCAAGUUAAUAUAUAACUCUCACCCAUAGUAAGUCAAAGUGAUACACGAAUCAACAUAUAAAUUUGAAAUCUUAUUAGUAUUAAGAUUCUAUUAAGUCACCGAGAUCUUGAUUCUUCACUUAUGUCAGAUAGAAGAAUACAUCUCACUGUGAUCCUAUCAAUACGUUAUGACGUACCAGUAUAGACAAGUAGUCAAGAUAAACUGCUUCCAUCUAUACUGCAGCCUAAACCAACGACUCAUCCUAGAGUCAUCUCGGCUGCGAUCAGUUUAUACUUAAGGUUAUUCCAAUUAUAUGGUCUUCUGUGAUUUACAACACACCAUAUAAUCUACUUAUAUAGAGAUAAAGGACAUACAUAUGUAAUCAUGAACACAAUCAGAUAGGAGAUUAAAUAGUGAACACAGGAAACAUUGUAUACAAGCAUAAAACGUUCUUGCUUUCAGUAUACAAAUCCAACAGAUCAGGGGUUAAAGAUGUUGAUCCGUAGUUUUCAAUGAAUGGGAAUGUAACAAAAAUAGGUUAGAAAAUAGAUGUUGAUCAUUAUCUACAAGAUAGGUGAGAGAUUUCCGGGAUUUGAUGAAUUUGCCAAAAUUAUGAAUCAAUGAAAUUGACAUUUGUAUCCCAACUCUCCUAAAGCAAAUAAAUACAGACUCUACGAACUAAAACAAUUGAGAUGGGACCAAAAAUCAGAACCGUUGGAUUAGACGAAAUGAAGGGCCUGGAUUUCUUCUCUAUUCUCUAUCUAAGGGACCCUUUUUCGUUGAAGUGGACCAUAUAUAUAUAUAUAUAUACAUAUAUAUAUAUAUAUAUAUUCAUAUAGGGAGAGGUUCAAGAAAGAACCACUAAAUAAAAUAAGAACGGAGAACCAUUUUCAGUCAUUCGAUCAUCAAGAUCUACGGUGGAUGCAUCAUCUUGUUGGAUGAAUGCAGAUCCUGGGUUCGAAUCCAGAAGGGAGCAUUUUUUCUUUUUUGAGUGCAUUAAUUUUAACAGCGAAUGCAUUAGAUUUGAUGGUUCUCACGUGCUCAUAAAUAAUGUAGUUCUCUCUAGAACUCCCCCCCCUCCACACACACACACACACACACACACACACAUAUAUAUAUAUAUAUAUAUAUAUAUAUAUACACACACACUCCUCCAGUCUUCAAAUAAGUAUCAUAAUGUAGAGUUUUUUGUCUCCUUUCAAAUAUCAUAUUAUAGAAUUUAAGAGUAAAUUGAGCUAAACUUUUAAUUCUGCCCAUGUCUUAAUAUUAUACCCCCUGUGUCUCAAUUUAAUAAGUCAUGUUUUCUUAUUCGUACGUCCCAAUUCAAUAGGUCACUUCCUCAAAUACAUAACAAAUAUCUUCACAUAAUUCAUUAUUUACACCAAAUGUAAUUGUACUUCACACAUAAUUAUCUUUUUCUUGUUUCUUCAUCCUACUUUUUGGACAAAUAUAUCCUCAACAAAAUUACUUUCCCUCUCCUAUUUUAUUAUAAAUUAUUCAUUUCUUAACAUCUGUGUCCAAGGCUUGUGGCCUCUUGAAUUGGAAUGAACGGAGUACUAUUUAUCUACUCAAUUAUAUUUAUGACUUUUACACUUUUAAAGUGAUGUAAAGAGUAAUUUAAUAAAAUAAAAUAAUUUCAUUCCAUUCUUACACUUUAUUUCUAGCUACCAAUCAUAAGAAUAAUAACAAACAAAGAAUCACAAUUCUAUUUUGUAUUCCUUAUGGAUACCAAACAUAAAAAUCACCUAAUGAUUGCCAUUCUUUUUCCCUCUUCAUUUCAUUCAUCCCUCAUUACAUUCCAUCAUAUCUAUCUAUUCAUUACAUUCCUCCUCCAUUUCAUUCCAUCACACCCCACCUCCUAAUAGAACAAGAUAAUGUGGGGCUGCAGUGGCGGGUGCAUGUUAACCCAGUCCGUAUGGUACAGCCGGUCUCACAUGAGACCAGCUCCUUUUUAAUGACAGCAUUGUCAGACAAGAUUGACACCAUUCACAAAUACAGUAUGUGACUUUGUCAACUACUCUACUUUUAUAUAUGUGAAUAUGUAAUAAGACAUUUACCAAUUAACAUCAAACUUGGUAUGCACAAUCACUUGAGACCAGUCUGAAAUCCGGCUUUGAUAUCUACUAUAUAUAUUCUGAUAUCACAUACAAGUGAAUAUUUUUAUCCGAUAACUAAUGACAGAAGAUCGACUUUGGUCCAUGGAAGAGGUUCUAAAACAUCCAUGCCAUUAAAGGAAGACACAUAUGAGCAGACUCAAGCCCUCGCACAGCAAUCAAGUGCAUCUGAUACAGUGAUGCAUCUGACUUGGUGUAUCAGUGCUCAAGGUGAAAAACAUAUUCAGUAAGCCGUUGUAAUUUGCUUUGGUCCAGUUUCUGUUCAGUCGCAACGGCCUGCUUCUUCACGGUGAGCAUGCGGGACGCAGGAUCCACAAUCCAGCCGUGUUGCACUAUGUCUGCAGAGAGAGCAGUCACCCACUAUUAACAGAACUCAACAUCACCAAUUUUCUUUAUCCUAUUUCAACAAUCCCUAAACUUCUAGAAAAGGAUUAUCAAGUAGAAAAAAGGCAGGAGGGUGUUGAAAGCUGCGUGCCAGGUCCAAGUCCAACUCAAUGUAAAGUCACUGCUCACAGAAAUAUAUCAGACCGUUUUCAUUUUUAAAUGGAAGUUCAUCUAACCAACAAAUGCAAAACAGCACUACGUGAACAGCCAGUUAGAUAAAUGAUCGUCUUAACAUGCUAAGCGAGGAAUGGGGCUUACAAUUUGUUGCAUCCUCCUCGUUCAUUCCAAGGAACAGCGCAGUAUCUUGAAUACUUAUUGUUGAAUAAGCAGAUUGCAGCAGUUCAAACAUCCUUUUGGUGUACAGCUCUGCAAUAAGUUCAACAUAAACAUUAACAAAAAGCAUGUUCCUGCAAUCUUCGUCGAUGCAGCAGCAAAACCAUACAACAAAGUGCCAAGCGUCCUCUAAAACCUCCUCUACACUAGUACAAGAAUCAACAAGAAGCAAGAAUGUAACAAAGAUCUUGACUCUUAAUGCAAGAUUAAAGUCUCUGUUUGAUCAUAAGUACAAGAAUUAACAAGCAGCGAAACUAUAAAAACCAUACAGAAAAGUGCCAAGUGUCCUCUAAAACCUCAUCUACACUAGUACAGGAAUCAACAAGGAGCGAGAGUGUAACAAAGAUCUUGACUCUUGAUGCAAGAUUAAGAACCUAUUUCCUUUUAAAAGUUUAAGAGAUAACUCAACUUACCAUUUUCCCACACAAAAGAGACCAAAAAGUAUAUAAGUUGAAGAAAACAUACCAGUAAAGCUAGACGAAGACAUCCCAACAUAAACAAAUUCACAUAUAAGGACCCGGGUCCAAUCUUCUAUAAGUAGCUACAAGAAUACAUUUAAAAGAACAUAUUCUUAAGCAGAUAAGGACUAUAAGUUAUAUGAGUAAGCAAAAAAAUGAACCAUGAACAAGUCACGAUUAUGCACCACAACGGCCAAUGCCCAUAACUGAAGGUAGGUAAUAUAGUUGAAAUCGUCACAAGACCAAGAUGUAUCUCAAUUGAGUAAUAAAGCAUAUAUUUCUAAUGUAGAUCAAUCAAUGGCAUAAGAAAACAUAGAAACAUAGUUAUUAUGACAGACCAAGAAGUUAGAAUUCAUAGAAUUUUCCUCGUUACAGCUACAUGCUUCGAUGCAGCAUUUCAUGGUGCACACAAUUGCUGUUAGAUGCAAAGCUGCAUUGACUUAGGCUACGUUUUGAAGACUACUCAAUGAAUCGAGGUGAACCAAUGGAGUCUCCAAUAAGUUGCCAAGAGCACAAACAAUACUUUAAUACAAAAGGAGUUACAGACUCACCGGAGAAAGCUGCCAUAAUUCCCUGACACUGUGGACUCCAAAUAAACUCACGAAUGGCUUCAUGAACACUAGGGUAAUCCUUGAUCCACAGCCUCUGCCCAAUUUUCCACGCAGCCGAUACCUCUGGCUGGCUCUCUUUCACUGGUAACGGUAUCUUCUUCCACAAAAACCUUGCGCUAUUACUAUAACAAUCCAAACAGCACCAUCACAAACAGCACCAUCGCAAGCAUGCUAGAGCAACCAAAAUAACAUAAUCAAAUAAAAGCACUACAAUUAUAACAAUUUUUUUCCGUGAAUGCUUAAAAUUUUAUCCAUGCGACGAAAAUUACAUGUCAUUGAUAUAGAUGUGACCGAUUAGAUGAAUGGCGUAGGGCCAAUCUUCCUGAAAAGAGACGCCCUCAGAUGCAGCCUGUGAUAAGUAAAAGAUGAAAGAGAGUAGUGAGAGAAAGUUAGGGUUUGCAGGGUAUAAUAGGGAAUGCGCGUACAUUACCUGGAGCAUGAGAGUAUCGCAUAUGUCUGCGACCUUGUCGUAGGACUUGAACGCGAGUGCUUCAUUCAGAGCUGAGAAAUCCAUUGAUGGCGGCGCCGCUGCAGCAGUUGGUGGAGCUCUUUUCCUCUUCCCCUCUAUCACUGUGGUGCGGUGGUGCCACCGGUAUGAGAAACUGCUACCUUAUUUUUGGGCUAAUGGGCCGAAGAUUGUCGAUAAUAGUGGGCCGCAUAUCAUGAAUUUUUUUUACGUUCUUUGUUUGGGCUAAUAUAUGAUGAGAAUAAGGCUUGUAUUAAAGGAAAAGAAAAAGAGUACAAAACAUCCAAGAAAGCGCAAAAGAGAGCAAACAAAAAACCGAGCCUCAUUAAAACCUUCUAAGAAGAAGAGACCUUAGAAGGAAAAAAGAGUACUCGUGAAAGACUCACAUCCGGUUCAGGAGCGGGAAGAGACAACUUCAGGAGUUCCGGCCUAACCAUCACCCCUAAGAAGCUCGGCUCAAGAAAACCGGAAGAAGAAGAACCAAGAAAGAAAACAGGAGACCAACAACAAAAGAAAACAACCCAACCAAAGCCCAAGGGAACCAACGAACCUGCUUAUAUAACCAUACGGAUAUGACUAUGCGUCGACAUAUCCCUUGCAACCGCAAUCCGAAUCUCCUCAAUCGCAAAAGGCCACCAUCCUUCCUGCCGAUCAUCAUUGGCCAUAAUAUCUGCCGGUUGAUUACCCUCACGGUAAAUAUGCGAGACCAUCAAAGAAAAAUCCCGAAGCAGGCGAAGAGUAUGCUGCCAAAACGCCUUAAAUCUCCAAGGAACAUCACUCGAGCGAGAGUACAAAAGGUGAACCACAUACAUAGAGUCAGCCUCAACCCACAAAUGCCGCCAGCCUCGGGUAUGAGCAAUGUGAAUAGCAUAGAUCACAGCCAACAAUUCCGCCUCGAAAGCAAAGCCUUUGCCGCCUUUAAAAUGAAAACAACCUCGGACAUGAGACCACUUGUCUCGAAAAACCCCACCCGCAGCAAUAACUCCAGGAGCUCCCAUCACAAAAAAUGAUUAAUAAUUAAUAAUAAUAAUUAACAAUUUAUUAUUUUACAGCCCCCACUUUACUUUUUAUAACUCUUAUCUAAAUAAUUAAUAAGUUAUUAUUUUACUUUAUACUUCAUAUCCCUCAAACUAAAUUGAAUUUUUAAUACGUCUACAAGUUUAUUUAAAUAAAUUUAAAAGAAUUAAUACAUAUAAUUCUUAAUCGUAAUAAGAAAAUAUCCAUAGCCCUUAUCAUAAUUUGAUAAAAAAAAAAAUGGGUUUAUGCAUAUAUAAAUUCUAUAAAAAAUUGUAUAACCUCCAACUCAAAAUUAUGAAAACCAUAUGAAAAGAACUAUCAAAUUAUCAAUUAAUCAUUUGUGACAAAAUCUCCUUUUCAAAUAAAAAUCACCACCACACCUCUAAAUCUUAGAAGGAAAUAGCAUGCUCAGAUAAUUAACUUGCGUGUAGAGAGUAACAUUACCUUCUCUUCUGAAGUCAGACCUGCUUCUAGGGAUGUCAACCACGCUAAUCCAUCAAAUUUCGAGCUAAUCCUAUCAAGUUGUCGAGUUAUUCGUGUAUGGGUUAAUUGGAUUAAAAAAAAUUCGGAUUAGAAAUUUUCAACUAAUCCUAGACGUUCGAUUUACGAGCUAGCCCAUCGGGCUAGUCGGACUCAAAAAUUUAUUAAAAAAAUUAACUAAUAUAUUUCUUUUGAUAAUAUUAUUGGUAGAGUUAUUUUAACUCUAAUAUUUUAUUUAUUCAUUUGAUGAAUUAAUACCUUUGUUUUAUCUUCUUCAUUAAUUAUUAUCUAAGAUAAUUAAUAUUGUAAAUGUAUUUCUCGAUUCUAUUUAAAAAGAGUGGAAAAAUAAUUUAAUCUUUUUAAGUCAAAUGCUAUUUCAAUUUUGCUUUAUUUUUAUCGACUAAUUAGUAAGGGCAGCUUUAUCUUUUAAUAGCAUUUUGACCCCUAAAGUCAUAGUUUAAAAGUGAUGGCUAUAUAAGUCUCAAACUAUAUACUUUUGGUUAGUUAUGUCUUUCACCCUUAAAUUAAAUUAUUUUAUUAAUAUACUCUAUCACUCAAACCAAACUCGUCCUAUCUAGAUUAACUUUUGUACAUGAGAUUAAGCAGAGCUCAUAUAUGCGGUACAAUUUAUCAACAAAAAGCGUAGCUAAGCUCCGCGGUUGAGAAAUCCGGUUGAGGAGAAAACGAAGAAAGUGGUGGCACAUACAACUGCAAGCCAAACGCAAAUCAAGAGACGCCUACAAUUAAACUGUCAUGUUGAAAAAAAAUAACAUAGACAUUUACACGGCCUAUGUAUUUGCAAGAGCCUCAAAAUUUCUACCCCCAAAAGUCUGCCCGUUUACGAGGGAGAUGCUCAAUCUUGUUGUAGCAAUUGAGAGAUGGUCCUAACUUGGUUGCUCUUGGCAGGGCUCAAUGGCGUCAUUCACUUCGCCUCCUUGAAUUCCCCGAUUCAUCUAGAGUAAUUUCUCGAGGAUCUAGUAGACCAAACCCUAGCCAGUCUCAUAAUGGGACUCUUUUCUUCGC
RNAcentral lists this long non-coding RNA (19940 nucleotides) under Salvia miltiorrhiza (redroot sage). RNAcentral describes it as "long non-coding RNA (SMIL_LNC004704)". Lineage: Eukaryota; Viridiplantae; Streptophyta; Magnoliopsida; Lamiales; Lamiaceae. The record is from RNAcentral.